Molecule: long non-coding RNA, 410 nt
Filed under: Mustela putorius furo (domestic ferret)
Lineage: Eukaryota; Metazoa; Chordata; Mammalia; Carnivora; Mustelidae
Description: lncRNA (ENSMPUG00000025946.1)
Source: RNAcentral
AAGGUGUACACCCAAAUAAUCUCCCUUGAAAAAAAUCUCUUCCUUCUUUGAUCUUUUAUUAUCUUGUCUUUUUCUUUUUUUUUUUCUUUUUUUUUUUUUUUCCAGCUCCUCUUGUAGGUAAUUAUGGUGCUGUGCUAUCUUGGGGCGAUCAGCUCCCUUUUCUCCACUAUCAGCAGCCCUUCGUCCAAGACCAUUUUAGCAGCACUUCUGGCUGUUGUUUCAAAGGAAUGCAGGGACAGCAUUGACUCGGCUCUUGGAGGCUUUCUAUCAACCCAACACUAUCCUAUUUUCCCAUGGACACCAUCCCAUCCCCUUUCAGAAGGCGUCAGCAGGCCAAGCUGUCUCAGCUGCUGAGACUACGCCAAUACGUUGGGAGGCAUCAAAAUGCAAUUUACCAUGCAUAAAAUUGC